UUCCGGUUGAUCCCGCCGGCGGCUACCGCUAUUGGAGUUCGAUUAAGCCAUGCGAGUCGUGAGUCCUAGGGACUCGGCGUACCGCUCAGUAACACGUGGGUAACCUGCCCUAUGCUGGGGAAUAACCUCGGGAAACUGAGAAUAAUGCCCCAUAGUUCACCACACCUGGAACGGUGGGUGGAUGAAAGCUCCGGCGGCAUAGGAUGGGCCUGCGGCGUAUCAGGUUGUAGGGGGUGUAAUGUACCCUCUGGCCAUCUACGCGUACGGGUGUUGAGAGACAUCGCCCGGAGAUGGAUUCUGAGACACGAAUCCAGACCCUACGGGGUGCAGCAGGCGCGAAAACUUGGCAAUGCGAGCAAUCGUGACCAGGGAACUCCAAGUGCAUCGGGUAAGACCGAUGCUUUUCUUGACUCUUCAAAGGUCUUGGAAUAAGGGGUGGGUAAGGACGGUGCCAGCCGCCGCGGUAAUACCGGCGCCUCAAGUGGUAGUCGCUUUUAUUGGGCCUAAAACGUCCGUAGCCGGUUUGGUACAUUCGUGGGUAAAUCAAGACGCUCAACGUCUUGAAUUCUGCGAGCACGGCCAGACUUGGGACCGGGUGAGGUGUGGGGUACUCUCAGGGUAGGGGUAAAAUCCUGUCAUCCUGAGAGGACCACCUGUUGCGAAGGCGCCACACUAGAACGGAUCCGACGGUCAGGGACGAAGCCUA
This 706-nucleotide ribosomal RNA is filed under the name uncultured archaeon. RNAcentral describes it as "bacterial SSU rRNA". It matches the Rfam family "Archaeal small subunit ribosomal RNA", at positions 1 to 713 of the family's 1478-position model. The record is from RNAcentral.